CGCGCUAUAGCUCAGCUGGGAGAGCGCCUGCCUUGCACGCAGGAGGUCUGCGGUUCGAUCCCGCAUAGCUCCACCA
RNAcentral lists this transfer RNA (76 nucleotides) under Vibrio parahaemolyticus. Its description in RNAcentral is "tRNA-Ala". It matches the Rfam family "tRNA". Rfam says of the family: Transfer RNA (tRNA) molecules are approximately 80 nucleotides in length. Their secondary structure includes four short double-helical elements and three loops (D, anti-codon, and T loops). Lineage: Bacteria; Pseudomonadati; Pseudomonadota; Gammaproteobacteria; Vibrionales; Vibrionaceae. The record is from RNAcentral.